UACGUAGGGUGCAAGCGUUGUCCGGAAUUAUUGGGCGUAAAGAGCUCGUAGGCGGUUUGUCGCGUCUGCUGUGAAAACUCAGGGCUUAACCCUGAGCCUGCAGUGGGUACGGGCAGACUAGAGUGUGGUAGGGGAGAUCGGAAUUCCUGGUGUAGCGGUGGAAUGCGCAGAUAUCAGGAGGAACACCGGUGGCGAAGGCGGAUCUCUGGGCCAUAACUGACGCUGAGGAGCGAAAGCAUGGGGAGCAAACAGG
This 253-nucleotide ribosomal RNA is filed under the name uncultured bacterium. RNAcentral's name for it is "partial 16S ribosomal RNA". It matches the Rfam family "Bacterial small subunit ribosomal RNA", at positions 524 to 776 of the family's 1533-position model. The record is from RNAcentral.